This 280-nucleotide ribosomal RNA is filed under the name Pyxine sorediata. Its description in RNAcentral is "partial 18S ribosomal RNA". Lineage: Eukaryota; Fungi; Ascomycota; Lecanoromycetes; Caliciales; Caliciaceae. The record is from RNAcentral.
UUCCGUAGGUGUCUUUUCCAGGCUCGCCUACGUGCUCGCGGUCGACUUUAAAAAACCGCGCAGUUGAUCGCUUCGGCGGUUGGCCACGCAGGUCUUCUGAUCUGGAAGCCAUUCGGAAUUAUCGCCGAAGAGCAACCAGCAGCUCUAGGAUCGUCUUUCAGGCGCCCCCAAGAGUUCACAGAUCAUAUGCCUGCGACCACGACGAUAUCGUGGCUCUGAUAUGACCGAACCCCACCAGCAAUGGUCGGCGGAGUCGCGGAACCUGCGGAAGGAUCAUUAU